AGGUCGUCCGAGUACUAUAUUAUAAGUAAUACUUUCAACAACGGUAUCUCUUGGGUCAGGCAACGAUGAAGAACGCACCCAAAUGCUAUAAGUUAUGUGAAAUGCAGAAUUCAGUGAAUCAUCGAAUCCUUGGAACGACAAUUGCGCACCAUGGUAUUCC
This 160-nucleotide ribosomal RNA is filed under the name Sclerotinia sclerotiorum. RNAcentral describes it as "5.8S ribosomal RNA". The stretch from base 30 to 160 matches the Rfam family "5.8S ribosomal RNA", at positions 1 to 129 of the family's 154-position model. Rfam says of the family: 5.8S ribosomal RNA (5.8S rRNA) is a component of the large subunit of the eukaryotic ribosome. It is transcribed by RNA polymerase I as part of the 45S precursor that also contains 18S and 28S rRNA. Lineage: Eukaryota; Fungi; Ascomycota; Leotiomycetes; Helotiales; Sclerotiniaceae. The record is from RNAcentral.